GGGGGCGACUUGGUCUCGAUUGCGUUACGGAAAUAGAGCAGUGCAUGCCAAGGUUUCAGUUACCUUGUAAAACAGCUGAACGGCAAAUAAACGCCAACGAUUCAAACUACGCUCUAGCUGCUUAAUCCAGCUAGACCUCGCUCCAGUUAGUCUGCGGGCUGGGUCGGGAAACCGACAGCGGGGUCAUUAACGCAGAACCGCAUCCAUUCGGGUCACCGGUAUGGAUGUUAAAUAAGGUGACUCGCUUAACACGAGCCUGGCGGUUGGCGCGUGAAGGGCUAAAUCCAAAUAAUCUGUCCAAGCAUGUGAAUGACUGACUAUCAAAGGACGUAAGACGCGGGUUCGAUUCCCGCCGCCUCCACCA
Molecule: transfer-messenger RNA, 364 nt
Filed under: Burkholderiales
Lineage: Bacteria; Pseudomonadati; Pseudomonadota; Betaproteobacteria
Also listed under: 1 other name
Description: REEB80 sp018971485 Standard tmRNA
Rfam family: transfer-messenger RNA
About the family: Bacterial tmRNA, also known as 10Sa RNA or SsrA, is named for its dual tRNA and mRNA-like properties. Its role is to liberate the mRNA from a stalled ribosome.
Source: RNAcentral